GGUGGCUCAGUGGUAGAGUGCUUGCCUAGCAUGCAUGAAGCCCGGGGUUUUAUUCCCCAGUACCA
This 65-nucleotide transfer RNA is filed under the name Dipodomys ordii (Ord's kangaroo rat). It matches the Rfam family "tRNA". From Rfam's summary of the family: Transfer RNA (tRNA) molecules are approximately 80 nucleotides in length. Their secondary structure includes four short double-helical elements and three loops (D, anti-codon, and T loops). Further hydrogen bonds mediate the characteristic L-shaped molecular structure. tRNAs have two regions of fundamental functional importance: the anti-codon, which is responsible for specific mRNA codon recognition, and the 3' end, to which the tRNAs corresponding amino acid is attached (by aminoacyl-tRNA synthetases). tRNAs cope with the degeneracy of the genetic code in two manners: having more than one tRNA (with a specific anti-codon) for a particular amino acid; and 'wobble' base-pairing, i.e. permitting non-standard base-pairing at the 3rd anti-codon position. Lineage: Eukaryota; Metazoa; Chordata; Mammalia; Rodentia; Heteromyidae. The record is from Rfam by way of RNAcentral.